CACAGGUGACAAGGCUGAUGAAACAUACUUGGAAGCCAAAAACUGAACUCUCAGAAAAAUGCACUCUUGAGAGACACAGAUGAGGUUAUUUACAGAUGGCAAUCUGAAGCUCUCCUUCUGGUUUCUGCACACUGAGUGAAAAGAUGGAGAAGCACCCACAAAGCAGCUGUAGAAUAGAGAACCCAUUUCACCCUUCAGAGCUUUCCUUCUGGUUUAGUGGAAAACUCAGUGGAUGGAUGGAUAAAGCUUGCAGAAAGAAAAAUCAGCUCUUGGCUAUGUGAGGAGAUUUUAACCACAGAGUCCCAGGAGAAAUUUGAGUCAGCUUCUCUUAGCCUUGUAACAAUAGCAUGGAAGGUUGAACCUCUCACCCUGCAGCUUUAACUCUGUGUCUUGAUUUAAGACAAUUUAAGAGGUGGACACUCUAAUAUGAGUUACCUCCCUUAGUUUCAACCAAUCCCUUUCCACCAAAAUGGAGAAAUGAAAUAUGAGUAGAUAUAAGUGAAAAAAUAACAGUUUAUUAACAAGCAAAACAGCAACAGGCAAAAAGAGAAAAAAACACCAACCAACCAGUGAAUAAUCAGUAGAUCCAAAAUUGCUAAGUUCCAUGGACAGUUUGAGGUUAUUAAGAAACAUCAACUCUCUCAUACUUUCUUCAUGAGACCAAACUGACUUUGGACCUUGGAAAUGCCUGGGACUUCUGGACUUUGAUUGUGGCAAAAUCAUUAAACAAAAGUUAGCAUUUGUUUGAUAGACUGGUUUGUCAGUCCAGCCUUUUAAAGAUCACCUUGAAAAAACCAGGCAAAUGAAUCAGCUGGUCUGGGAGAAGAAAGUGUAAAAAAUCUGUAAGAGACCUUUUACAUAAGCUGCUUUUAAAAAAAGUUUUAUGGCAUAAAAUUUGCAGGUGAUCUGAAAUAGCUGGAAGCAAAUGGAAGAGAAGGCUGCUGUAAGGUGAGAGAGUUUCUGAACCUGCCCAGUGUGAAUUCCUUUCCUGUUGACUCAUGUCAGAUCUAUUCCUCUUUCCAUCUUAUUCCUUUCUAUUUUAGAAGACAUUGUUCCUAAAAUGGGUAAAUUUGCUUUUCUUCAUUCCCAAUCAAUGGCAGUUAAUGAGAACUUAAAAUGUAUGUUAGUGGUCAGUGGUGAGGUUUGGUUUUCUUUUUCCACUUAAUAUUUGGAGUUAAGUCUUUAUAAAAACUGUGCUUAGACUGCAACUUUUCAGAAGUUUAUGGCUAUCCUGAUUGAUGCUUCCUUGAGAUAUGUAACAGCAAAGCCAAAUAAUCACAAAGAGCAUGUGCUGGAUAUUUCCACCCUGGGAAUUUAAAAUUUUCUGACUUCAUUUAUGAUGCUGCAGUAUAACCACCUGGUGGAGUGAGUGAUUGCAAAGCCUGAUUAAUGGUACAAACUUUUAGACUAUAAUUUGUUACUUCUGUACUUUGUAUGCUGUUCUGUGGUGGAAAUACUUCACAGCUUUUGCCAGCUACAUUUUUCGAAAAAUCACAGCUUGCUGGAGCCUUGAUUCUGCUCUUACUGGGGGAUGUCCCAUGGUUCAUGUCUGUUUAGAUGUGGCAGGUCCAAUGAAAAUAUGUUCUCUCUAAUGAGGGCUGGAUAUAUCUGAACUCUUCUGUUUGGCAAAACCCUCAAAGCAAAGAAAAUGUGGAAUCUUUGUAGCCAAACGUAAGUGAAAUCACAUGGUGGCUCUUUCAUAGUUUGGCUUAGAAAAAAUAACCCUUUCUUGAGUAUGUGAAUGUAGAUGUCAAAGCUCUCUUCCAAGGUUUGGGGGAUUAAACAAGAGGUGAGAUGGGAAUUGUGUUCAUCUUCCUUUUCAUUCAUAUCUAGAUUUUUUUAAUGUGGCAAACAAACUUCGUGUGUCACUAAACCUGACAUGCUGAGUCUCAGGGAGAGGAAUGCUUUGUUUCAAGCAGUGUUUCAUUAAGAAAAAAAGAUCAAUUUUUUGGAUACAAAAAAACCAAAGCUUCCUGAAAGAAAUGUGCUGUUGAUCCAAUUCCAGUACUUUCAAGUUUUUGGUGCCUGCUGAAGCGUAGUAAUGCUGCAGAAGCAAAAGAAGGGAUUUUUUUUUUCACAGAUUUUAAAGAAGUUGUGACUUUUCUCAGUUUUACAAAGAGCUUCUUAGGAGUUCCAGUAUUAACUCUUUUACGCUAUCAUACAUCCAGACUGAAAAACCACUUUUUUCCCUGUGCCAAUUAUCUUUUUAGGGUUGAAGAAUUGCUACAGUUCAUGUAUACCACAAGCUCUUGAUUCAUGGGAAUAUGUUUAGCUUUUCUAUGCUCAGUCCAUGCAAAAAGUUGUACUCAGUCUUUCUGAGUUUUAAUUAUUGUCUUUUGAUUGAAUGGUUGGAUUUUGCAGCAUCAUAGCUGAUAUUAAUGCAUUUAGAACACAUAAGCCUGGAGGAUCUGAUAUUCCAGAGGAUGUUUGAGUAAGCUGAGAAGUGAGGCUGAUGUUUUACUCUUCUAUUUCAUUGCAGGUUCAGUAGUAAUUAUUCACACUGAUGAAUAGAGAAAUGGAGCAAAACGUUCUGCCCUGGGCUUUUACUGUAACUUUGAGGCUGAACAAAAUAACUACUGUUUCUUUUUCAUGGAGAGAAAUGCAGGGGAUGUGACAAAAUGUGCCUGAGGAAUAAGGUGGGUGACAAGAUCCUAUCUGUGAGGAAACCAGCAGGAGUCAAGGUAGGAUGUUCCCCAGGGCGCCAAUCAGUGCAGCCCUGUAGAGCUGGUUCAGAAAGCCUGAUGAACUGGCCCUGCCUACUGAAAUAUUUUCUCAAAAGAAUGAUCCUUAUUUCCCUUUUUUCAUGAGAGAGACAUCUACCAGAAUGCUCCAAAUAGCCCCCACCAAUAACCAAGCAACAAACUCCAAGAAAUACCUUUUUUACAGGUUGUAAUGUGGUGAUGUAAACAGGCCUGCUCUAACUAAAUACUCCAAUAGGGGAGGCAUUGCCAGAAGAAUAAACAUUUGCAUGCUUCCCAUGCAAACCAACUCCCUAAAUCACCUGGACCUUAUGUGAAAUAUUCCUUGAACAAGCUAUUCCCAGUUAUCCUGCAAGGUUUCUGAAGGGACAAUGGCCUAUUGGGUCAUGGGGAGGGUUUGUGCCAUGCUCACAUUGUACUGCUCUAAGGAGUUACAGUGCCAUCAAAAGAAGCAGAAGCCACCAGAGCCAGGAUCUGCAAAUGUCACUGAGCAGCUGCUCUCUUUGCUCUUCGCUGAAGCACCUGGCAGUGCCCUUGGGAUGCUUGUCUGGGUGUAACCCUGCAGACAGAAUAUGGCAGGUGCUAAUUUCCUCAUUCUGUUUCCUUUGAUCUGUCCUCACAAAGUACAGCUUGUUCAAAACAACUGAAGGAAGCAGAACCCAUCCGUUCUCUCAGAAUUAUUUUCUGGGAAAAUCUGCACAUUGGCUUUGGAGGUUGCUUGUGGAAAUAAACCCAGUAUUGCUUAAAAAUUUGUUACACUUCAAGAACCAUUUUGAAACUUGAUUCAUUUCUAAUUAAAGUGAAAUAUUGAAGCCAUGUGAGGAUUUUGAUAAGUUCAGCGUCUGUUGCAAGCACGGUUCUACCCAAGUUCUUUUCUUUUGGGGGCUGGCUGCUAUUGUAGCAUUUUACAUUAUAGUUUCUGAAUUCACCCCACACAGUCUCAUUGACUUCAGUGGGAAUUUUCCAAGAACAAGGAAUUAAAUAGUCUUCAGAAUUAGUUCCCCCAUGAAUUCAGAAUAUUAGAUAUCUGCUCAAGUUAUGUUACGUGCUGUCAAUUUUUUACCUGUUAAAAUUCUUGGAGCAGAUGCAAUAAAACUUAAAGCUUGAUAAGAAAAGUUGCAGAUAGUUUGUAUUCUCUGCAGAAGUCUGGGAGUUUGGGAAAGAUGCUCUGAGGUUCUCUUUCAGAAAGGAAUUUUGUGUGCUAAGCCCCAUUUUUCACUGCUGUCAAUUCUGCAUGACUUUGGUGUUCUGCAUUUAAAUAAAGAGAAAUAACACA
Non-coding RNA from Taeniopygia guttata (zebra finch), 3975 nucleotides. NCBI's taxonomy places the organism in Eukaryota, Metazoa, Chordata, Aves, Passeriformes, Estrildidae. The record is from RefSeq and is a predicted model, not a curated record.